GACGAACGCUGGCGGCGUGCCUAAUACAUGCAAGUCGAACGCACUCUCGUUUAGAUUGACGGAGUUUGCUCCUGAUUGAUAAACAUUUGAGUGAGUGGCGGACGGGUGAGUAACACGUGGGUAACCUGCCCUAAAGUGGGGGAUAACAUUUGGAAACAGAUGCUAAUACCGCAUAAAACCUAACACCGCAUGGUGUAGGGUUGAAAGAUGGUUUCGGCUAUCACUUUAGGAUGGACCCGCGGUGCAUUAGUUAGUUGGUGAGGUAAAGGCUCACCAAGGCCGUGAUGCAUAGCCGACCUGAGAGGGUAAUCGGCCACACUGGGACUGAGACACGGCCCAGACUCCUACGGGAGGCAGCAGUAGGGAAUCUUCCACAAUGGACGAAAGUCUGAUGGAGCAACGCCGCGUGAGUGAAGAAGGUUUUCGGAUCGUAAAACUCUGUUGUUGGAGAAGAAUGUAUCUGAUAGUAACUGAUCAGGUAGUGACGGUAUCCAACCAGAAAGCCACGGCUAACUACGUG
RNAcentral lists this ribosomal RNA (520 nucleotides) under uncultured bacterium. Its description in RNAcentral is "partial 16S ribosomal RNA". It matches the Rfam family "Bacterial small subunit ribosomal RNA", at positions 28 to 507 of the family's 1533-position model. The record is from RNAcentral.